AAAAAGAACCUGAAACCGUGUACGUACAAGCAGUGGGAGCACAGGUUUACCUGUGUGACUGCGUACCUUUUGUAUAAUGGGUCAGCGACUUAUAUUCUGUAGCAAGGUUAACCGUAUAGGGGAGCCGUAGGGAAACCGAGUCUUAACCGGGCGUUAAGUUGCAGGGUAUAGACCCGAAACCCGGUGAUCUAGCCAUGGGCAGGUUGAAGGUUGGGUAACACUAACUGGAGGACCGAACCGAC
Molecule: ribosomal RNA, 242 nt
Filed under: Salmonella enterica subsp. enterica serovar Anatum
Lineage: Bacteria; Pseudomonadati; Pseudomonadota; Gammaproteobacteria; Enterobacterales; Enterobacteriaceae
Also listed under: 2 other names
Description: partial 23S ribosomal RNA
Rfam family: Bacterial large subunit ribosomal RNA
Source: RNAcentral